CCGCCGCCCAGCGCCCCGAGAUCGGGCCCUUCCCCGCGGGGCUCAGGCUCCAGGCCGGGAGCAGAGGGGGCGGGAAGGUCUGCUCCUGGCCGUGGCGUCAGUGUCCCUUCCUCCUGCCGCCGUUCGCCGCAGUGUGGGCGUGGACCCUGCGCUCGGAGCUCGUGCAGGCGGCCCUGUGCGAGCGCCACCCCCGCGCGGACAGCCAGGGUGGGGGGCGUGCCCCUUCCCUGCUAAGUCCGGGAAGCCAACUCAGUGACUUGAGCUGAGACUUAGGAGGCUGAGGGCCCGCACCCAGAUGUCAUGACUGUCGCCCUACCCGUGUCCCCCUGUGUCCACUUCUCUGAGUGCCCGUGACCCUUCCAUCUUUAGGGAAUGCGGUCUGCUGAGAGGGCCCAGGCGCUGGCGAGGAGCCGUGUGGGGGCUGCCUCCCCACCUCCUUGAAGCAGCCAUUGCUUAAUGAACUUCUUCCUGUGCCCUCUUCACACCCUCAUAAGGAAUCCUGCUUCACCACAGUGCGAAAGAAAAACCCUUCUCACACUGGACCAAACCGUUAUUGCAAACCGAAUUAAAGCCAAGUACCUUCGAUCCCAGAGGAGGCUCAGAGCACUGUGGGCCACCCUGUGGUUUCCAGCCCGCAGCCCUCGGGGCUCCGCAGGGUCUGAGGAAGGCAGUGUUCCUCUCAGGAAUUGUCGCGUUAAGAUUCGAGCUAGAACGUUCAUGCUCCGGCAGGCAGCGUUCAAUUUCUCGCCCUUCUCCAGGGCCAGCAGCCCCCGGCUGUGCUGUGGGCAGUUUUUCAGGGAGACCGUGCGUGCUUUAGGCUCUGGGUGGGGAGAACCAUCCAGACCGGUGCUUGGGCCUGGUCCCUGCGGGAAUGCUGGUGCUGUUCACAUGGCAGGAUAAACAUCCCAGGAGCCCAGUUGCUCUCACCCCAGGCCGCACAUGGCACGUCCUGGCAUCCCUGUUCCUCUCCCUCUGUGGAGCCCCCAGCUUCCCUGUGGCUGACGGGCAGCUGGCAUUGACCCCCUCUUCCUCUUCUUCACUCUUCCCUCUGACCCCCCUCAUCCUGCCAUGGUUUUCAUUUCCCCAGGUCCCAGGUGUGCAUACCUUCAGCAGGCCUUGGGGAAGAUGGCGACCCUGGGGUAUGGUCAGGAGCCCCCUCGUGUCCCGUCCCCUGUCAAUCUUGCAUCACCAGGGACACCUGGAACCCACCACCGCGAGGCCCGGCUUCACCUCCAAGGUCAUCAACACGGGAUGUGGAAGCCCAGACGUGAGCCAGUGGAGGCCAGUAGGAUUCAGAACACGUCAGUCUGACUCAAGCCCGGGGCCAUCAACCCUGCCUCCCCCCACCGGGCCCAGCAAGCCGUGGCUUGUGGUUCUUAACUGGCAGGACAUAGGACCGGGGAGGGGCUGUCCUGGAAGACAUGCUGACCCAGCCAGGUCUGCUGGACGAGAAGACUGGCCCCCAGGGUGCGGGUCCUCCAGCCCACGCAGAGUGGGGCUGCCCCUGAUCCAGCAAGAGCCUGAAGGCCGGGCUCGGUCCCCCGAGUUGCAGCCAUGUGCCCUCAAGUGCCCAGGGGCCCUGCCCAGUGAGGGACAGCGUGGGCUGCCGCCAACAGCUUCGGCACUCUCUGUACUUUUCAGAAACAGAGUGUGUGUGUGUGGGGGGGGGCUGCCCGCAAGGAAAACAACCAAGAUGGACCUUAAGAGGGGGUGGGGCCUCUGGCAGGCUCUGAAGGAGGAGGUGUGGCUGGAGGGUGACGGAGCCCAGGGAGGUCCAAGGGGCCAGAGGGAGGACAGGGGAUGCCUUCCACCCCUCCUCAUGGAGACCAGCCCAGCAGGGAGAGCUGGGCCCCGUGACCAAGGUGCUGUCCAGGGCAGAAGCUGCUCCUCGCAGUCUCUGGACCUCAUCGCCUUUGCUGACUCCACUGGCGGCGGCCCUGAGGCGCUCACCCAGCCACUGCAGGAGGAGGAGCUGUCCGGCCUGGAUCUCCGAGAUGUGGAGGAGGUCCAGAUUGGCAGAGACACCUGCCGGCCAGGUGAGCGAGCAGAACCUUCAUCCCGUCCCUGCCGAGGGCACUCACCAUGGCUGCCACGUGCCAGGCGCUCUGCAGCGCCCACCGCCUCGGGCACCGGCCCUGCCUUAGUGCUGGCUUCUGUCCUCGAUGGCCCUGCCCCGUUCAGUUCCCGUCUGUCACUGACAUUUCCCCAAGCUGUGAGUGCAGCCCACACCUCUUUCCCGAGCCCAGGGCUGUCGCCAGUCGGCAUCUCCUGCACAGCAGCACUCCCCGCCCAGGCCAGCAGCCAGGGGGUCAUCCUGGGUCCCCCUUCCCCACGUAGUGCCCUGGGCCUCCACGAGUCCCUUAAAUUAAGCUCUGGUCCCCAUCCCCUUCUCCCCACAGCCUGGCUGGGCUGCACUAAUUCAGGUCCUCAGCCCCUUGCCACACACACACCCCCCCCCGUGGAAGCCCUCGGGAUGCCCCCUUUGGGGUCUCUGCGCCCCCCAGGAGGUCCUCCCUGGAGCAGACCCUCCCUGCCACAGUGCCAGGAGAUCCCCGGGGCAGCAGGGGGACCAGACCAGGAGACGGUUGUGGAGUUCCUGGAGUGGCCCGGGCCUGCAGAGCGUCAGGGGAGGGGCCGCACCCCUGCGGGGAGCCUGGGCAGCACCCUUUGGAGCAGGGUGCUCUGCCG
RNAcentral lists this long non-coding RNA (2688 nucleotides) under Ursus maritimus (polar bear). Its description in RNAcentral is "lncRNA (ENSUMAG00000001251.1)". Lineage: Eukaryota; Metazoa; Chordata; Mammalia; Carnivora; Ursidae. The record is from RNAcentral.